RNAcentral lists this long non-coding RNA (940 nucleotides) under Mus spicilegus (steppe mouse). Its description in RNAcentral is "lncRNA (ENSMSIG00000002962.1)". Lineage: Eukaryota; Metazoa; Chordata; Mammalia; Rodentia; Muridae. The record is from RNAcentral.
UGUUAUGAAGGAUCUAUGGAAGCCCAGUCAUAAGAAGAAACGUGGCUUAAUUCACCCCCAGUAUGACGAUAGAACUACUGGGUUUCACAGGGACCUGCAGGGCUUCAUGUCACAUAAACUUACACCUCAGAGAGAAAACUAGGAUGUCUCUUCUGUUGAACCCGUGUAUGGCUUGAAUAGAGUUCCAGCAAAGGAAUCGUAAAAUUGGAGGCACCCUCAGCCUGCCGAUGUUUUCUGCAUGGGGAUGAUUUGUGGGACCAAAGUCAAUUAAAGUUCGGCUUGAAGUGAGUAACAGACCCUCAGAAUUAUUACACAAUUGCCCUACCAUAUGUUUCUGUCGUUUGGGUCUCCUCAAGUCCUUUUGCAUUUCUUCUUCGGCCGUCUUCCUCCUACCCCCCGCUAAGCUUUCUUUCUCAUCAUCAUCCCCAAGCAGUGGAAGACAGAGCCAUAAACAGCAAGGAAUAUGAAACGUGAGGCUCACAUGAAUGUGGGGAGAGAGUGGUUUAUGCGUGUAAUGGUGCCUACACACAUUUAAUUCCUAAAUCCAAACUCAUAGGCUUAGGGUGAAAUUAGCAAUUUUAAAAAUGUUGGUCCUAAGUGAAAAGUGAGCCUGCUUUGUAACAGUUGGUAAAGAUAUUGAUAACUUAUAUAAAGGCACUGUGGUUUGGUCUCUGCCUAGAGGUGGGUGGUGUAUGGCAUCAGGAACAUUACAAAUAAUUCUCUUUAGACACAGAUUUCAUAAUUUCCUUGUAACCUACUGGUAAGACUUCCACGGAGAAUUCUUUCAUCUCUACCUCACAUCCCAGAGGCUCUGGCCGUGCUAGGUAAGGACCCAACCACUGAGCAUAGCCCCCGGCCCAAGAAUUAUCAUUCUGAGUUGCUCAAUAGAGUUCACAUCCUGCUGUUGUUUUAGAAAAUAAAACAAAUCCAACAUAAAGCA